UUGGAGGGCAAGUCUGGUGCCAGCAGCGAGGAAAUUCCAGCUCCAAUAGCGUAUAUUAAAGUUGUUGCAGUUAAAAAGCUCGUAGUUGAACUUCGGGGUCUACCCAUUGGUCAGGCUUAAUUGUCUGCACUGGUGAGAUGGAUCUCUACCUUCUGAGGAACUUUCAUGCCAUUUAUUUGGUGUGAUGGGAAAUCAGGACUGUUACUUUGAAAAAAUUAGAGUGUUUAAAGCAGACUAUCGUCUGAAUACAUAAGCAUGGAAUAAUGAAAUAGGACGGACUGAUUCUAUUUCGUUGGUUUCUAGGAUCACCGUAAUGAUUAAUAGGGAUAGUUGGGGGCAUUAGUAUUCAAUUGUCAGAGGUGAAAUUCUUGGAUUUAUUGAAGACUAACUACUGCGAAAGCAUUUGCCAAGGAUGUUUUCAUUAAUCAAGAACGAAAGUUAGGGGAUCGAAGACGAUCAGAUACCGUCGUAGUCUUAACCAUAAACUAUGCCGACUAGGGAUCGGACGAAGUUAAUUUUAUAAUGACGCGUUCGGCGCCUUACGGGAAAC
RNAcentral lists this ribosomal RNA (550 nucleotides) under uncultured Glomeromycotina. RNAcentral's name for it is "SSU rRNA". It matches the Rfam family "Eukaryotic small subunit ribosomal RNA", at positions 548 to 1098 of the family's 1831-position model. Lineage: Eukaryota; Fungi; Glomeromycota. The record is from RNAcentral.